Fundulus heteroclitus (mummichog) is the source of this 834-nucleotide long non-coding RNA. RefSeq lists it as uncharacterized. The record is from RefSeq and is a predicted model, not a curated record. The transcript is spliced from 2 exons. NCBI's taxonomy places the organism in Eukaryota, Metazoa, Chordata, Actinopteri, Cyprinodontiformes, Fundulidae.
CAUUUCUUUUUUCUCCCGAGUUUCAACAAAACGUCGUUUUCUUCAGGUGAGUGGUUUUAUUGGCUUUACACGAGCCACUUAAGCCACAGGCCAUCGCUUCUCUUUGUCUCGGGAGUGGGCGGGGUCUUUUCCCCGAGUUCAACCGGAGUGUUCCGAUCUUCUCCGAUCCCCUGCUCAGGCGUUGCAGCUGCGUGUUCUCCUCGCAUCUUCACUCUCCAUCACCCGCAGCGCUUCCACCAUGGUGGACAUACUGCUGUUGAUGUUUUUCGCCGUCAUGGGCCUCGUCUUCCUCUCAUACAUCAUCUACAUGCUGUGAUGAGACAGUCGGAGGCGGAGUUUGGUUCCUCCUGUGUGCCCGCUUACCGUCACACACAUGGACCGAAGAACCUCAUGCAGGUCAUGAUGUUUCCCCUCCCACCUCUCCGAUCGGACAUGGGGAACCCGGAGGAAGACGACUGGACAGCACCUUUCUUCUUUUCUCAUUAUUUUCCUCCAUCUGUGGCUUCGCCUCAUUUUCUCCAACUUCCUUGCAGCCCUUAUUUACUUACCUAAAACUAGUGUUACCUGUGCAAGCAUCCUGUAAAUCCAUCAGUUUGAACACAGAGUGUUUUUGUUGCCAAUACGUUUUCCUUCCCGUUCCCUCAUCAAUACUAGCGACAGAUCACUCAUGAUGCUGCAUCAAAAAUAGAUUAUUUCCUGCAGAAAAUUACCUAUUUGGAGAUGGAUUAUUUGUUUGUAUCAAUGUUAUUCCACUGAUGUUGUGUUUACAGAUUCACUGAUAAUCAGCCAAAAUAUGUUUCACAUGAUCUUAAUUAAAUAUGAUUUUAAGUGCAA